GACGAACGCUGGCGGCGUGCUUAACACAUGCAAGUCGAACGGAAAGGCCCUGCUUUUGUGGGGUGCUCGAGUGGCGAACGGGUGAGUAACACGUGAGUAACCUGCCCUUGACUUUGGGAUAACUUCAGGAAACUGGGGCUAAUACCGGAUAGGAGCUCCUGCUGCACGGUGGGGGUUGGAAAGUUUCGGCGGUUGGGGAUGGACUCGCGGCUUAUCAGCUUGUUGGUGGGGUAGUGGCUUACCAAGGCUUUGACGGGUAGCCGGCCUGAGAGGGUGACCGGCCACAUUGGGACUGAGAUACGGCCCAGACUCCUACGGGAGGCAGCAGUGGGGAAUAUUGCACAAUGGGCGGAAGCCUGAUGCAGCAACGCCGCGUGCGGGAUGACGGCCUUCGGGUUGUAAACCGCUUUCGCCUGUGACGAAGCGUGAGUGACGGUAAUGGGUAAAGAAGCACCGGCUAACUACGUGCCAGCAGCCGCGGUGAUACGUAGGGUGCGAGCGUUGUCCGGAUUUAUUGGGCGUAAAGGGCUCGUAGGUGGUUGAUCGCGUCGGAAGUGUAAUCUUGGGGCUUAACCCUGAGCGUGCUUUCGAUACGGGUUGACUUGAGGAAGGUAGGGGAGAAUGGAAUUCCUGGUGGAGCGGUGGAAUGCGCAGAUAUCAGGAGGAACACCAGUGGCGAAGGCGGUUCUCUGGGCCUUUCCUGACGCUGAGGAGCGAAAGCGUGGGGAGCGAACAGGCUUAGAUACCCUGGUAGUCCACGCUGUAAACGGUGGGUACUAGGUGUGGGGUCCAUUCCACGGGUUCCGUGCCGUAGCUAACGCUUUAAGUACCCCGCCUGGGGAGUACGGCCGCAAGGCUAAAACUCAAAGGAAUUGACGGGGCCCCGCACAAGCGGCGGAGCAUGCGGAUUAAUUCGAUGCAACGCGUAUAACCUUACCUGGGUUUGACAUGGAUCGGGAGCGCUCAGAGAUGGGUGUGCCUCUUUUGGGGUCGGUUCACAGGUGGUGCAUGGCUGUCGUCAGCUCGUGUCGUGAGAUGUUGGGUUAAGUCCCGCAACGAGCGCAACCCUUGUUCACUGUUGCCAGCACGUUAUGGUGGGGACUCAGUGGAGACCGCCGGGGUCAACUCGGAGGAAGGUGGGGAUGACGUCAAGUCAUCAUGCCCCUUAUGUCCAGGGCUUCACGCAUGCUACAAUGGCUGGUACAGAGAGUGGCGAGCCUGUGAGGGUGAGCGAAUCUCGGAAAGCCGGUCUCAGUUCGGAUUGGGGUCUGCAACUCGACCUCAUGAAGUCGGAGUCGCUAGUAAUCGCAGAUCAGCAACGCUGCGGUGAAUACGUUCCCGGG
RNAcentral lists this ribosomal RNA (1343 nucleotides) under uncultured bacterium. RNAcentral describes it as "16S ribosomal RNA". It matches the Rfam family "Bacterial small subunit ribosomal RNA", at positions 28 to 1378 of the family's 1533-position model. The record is from RNAcentral.